This 78-nucleotide transfer RNA is filed under the name Nitrososphaerota archaeon. RNAcentral's name for it is "Thaumarchaeota archaeon tRNA-OTHER". It matches the Rfam family "tRNA". Rfam says of the family: Transfer RNA (tRNA) molecules are approximately 80 nucleotides in length. Their secondary structure includes four short double-helical elements and three loops (D, anti-codon, and T loops). The record is from RNAcentral. Lineage: Archaea; Thermoproteati; Nitrososphaerota.
GCGCGGUUAGCUCAGGGAGGGAGAGCGCCCGUUGAAAUACACGGGAGGUCGGGGGUUCAAGUCCUUCACCGCGCACCA